Molecule: ribosomal RNA, 750 nt
Filed under: uncultured Flavobacterium sp.
Lineage: Bacteria; Pseudomonadati; Bacteroidota; Flavobacteriia; Flavobacteriales; Flavobacteriaceae
Description: bacterial SSU rRNA
Rfam family: Bacterial small subunit ribosomal RNA
Source: RNAcentral
GUAACGCGUAUGCAAUCUACCUUUCACAGAGGGAUAGCCCAGAGAAAUUUGGAUUAAUACCUCAUAGUAUAUUGGUCUCGCAUGAGAUCAUUAUUAAAGAUUUAUCGGUGAAAGAUGAGCAUGCGUCCCAUUAGUUAGUUGGUAAGGUAACGGCUUACCAAGACUACGAUGGGUAGGGGUCCUGAGAGGGAGAUCCCCCACACUGGUACUGAGACACGGACCAGACUCCUACGGGAGGCAGCAGUGAGGAAUAUUGGACAAUGGGCGCAAGCCUGAUCCAGCCAUGCCGCGUGCAGGAUGACGGUCCUAUGGAUUGUAAACUGCUUUUAUACGAGAAGAAACACUGGUUCGUGAACCAGCUUGACGGUAUCGUAAGAAUAAGGAUCGGCUAACUCCGUGCCAGCAGCCGCGGUAAUACGGAGGAUCCAAGCGUUAUCCGGAAUCAUUGGGUUUAAAGGGUCCGUAGGCGGUCAGAUAAGUCAGUGGUGAAAGCCCAUCGCUCAACGGUGGAACGGCCAUUGAUACUGUCUGACUUGAAUUAUUAGGAAGUAACUAGAAUAUGUAGUGUAGCGGUGAAAUGCUUAGAGAUUACAUGGAAUACCAAUUGCGAAGGCAGGUUACUACUAAUGGAUUGACGCUGAUGGACGAAAGCGUGGGUAGCGAACAGGAUUAGAUACCCUGGUAGUCCACGCCGUAAACGAUGGAUACUAGCUGUUGGGAGCAAUCUCAGUGGCUAAGCGAAAGUGAUAA